GUUUAGUUAUCUUGGUUAAUGUUAAGUUUAUGUGACAGUUGUAUUAUAGCUUAGCUUUAUACUUAGGACUAUCAACAUAAUAUCAAUGAUUAGUAUAGAAGGCGAGACAUUUCAGCGUGUGCACUCUUGUUAGCAUUUUUCAUAAAUUUUUGUAAAUUUUUAGAAAAUAUUUUCCACUGUAAUUACUGGGCCAAGUUCAUUAUAGAUAGAGAUAAUUGUAGCAACAAGAAUGUUCAGUAAAGUAAGAUCUACAAACACAUCACCAUCACCAAAACACAAUUAUGUCAUGAAUUUAUCUGUGUCCAUUGUUUAAUAUGCACAUAGACCAAGGUGAGCGACACAGGCUCUUGAGAGCCUCUAGUUUGGCAAUA
RNAcentral lists this long non-coding RNA (371 nucleotides) under Mytilus galloprovincialis (Mediterranean mussel). The record is from RNAcentral. Lineage: Eukaryota; Metazoa; Mollusca; Bivalvia; Mytilida; Mytilidae.